GUGCUUGCUUUGGCAACACAUAUACUAAAAUUGGAAUGAAACAGAGAUUAGCAUGGUCUCUGUAUAAGAAUUAUUCAGAAAUUCAUGAACUAUUUCAUACUUUG
Sorex fumeus (smoky shrew) is the source of this 104-nucleotide small nuclear RNA. The record is from RefSeq and is a predicted model, not a curated record. NCBI's taxonomy places the organism in Eukaryota, Metazoa, Chordata, Mammalia, Eulipotyphla, Soricidae.